This 253-nucleotide ribosomal RNA is filed under the name uncultured bacterium. RNAcentral's name for it is "partial 16S ribosomal RNA". It matches the Rfam family "Bacterial small subunit ribosomal RNA", at positions 524 to 776 of the family's 1533-position model. The record is from RNAcentral.
UACAGAGGGGGCCAGCGUUAUUCGGAAUUAUUGGGCGUAAAGGGCGCGUAGGCGGCCAUGCGUGUCUUCCGUGAAAUCCCUCGGCUUAACUGAGGACGUGCGGAAGAAACUGCAAGGCUCGAGUCCGGGAGAGGGGGGUGGAAUUCCCAGUGUAGCGGUGAAAUGCGUGGAUAUCGAGAAGAACGCUCGUAGCGAAGGCGAGGCUCUGGGCAAAUUCUGACGCUGAGGCACGAAGGCUAGGGGAGCAAACGGG